UACGUAGGUGGCAAACGUUGCUCGGAAUCACUGGGCAUAAAGCGCACGUAGGCGGUCCACUAAGUUCGAUGUGAAAUCCCCCGGCUCAACCGGGGAACUGCAUCGGAUACUGGUGGACUCGAGAGUUGUAGGGGUGGACGGAACUCCAGGUGGAGCGGUGAAAUGCGUAGAUAUCUGGAGGAACACCGGAGGCGAAAGCGGUCCACUGGGCAACUUCUGACGCUGAGGUGCGAAAGCUAGGGUAGCAAACGGG
RNAcentral lists this ribosomal RNA (253 nucleotides) under uncultured bacterium. RNAcentral describes it as "partial 16S ribosomal RNA". It matches the Rfam family "Bacterial small subunit ribosomal RNA", at positions 524 to 776 of the family's 1533-position model. The record is from RNAcentral.